CCCUUAGAUGUCCGGGGCCGCACGCGCGCUACAUUGGAUGAAUCAACGCGUCAUCCUGGCCCGAAAGGGUUGGGGAACCGCUGAACCUCAUCCGUGGUUGGGAUUGGGGUUUGUAAUUCUUCCCCAUGAACGAGGAAUUCCCAGUAAGCGCGAGUCAUAAGCUCGCGUUGAUUACGUCCCUGCCCUUUGUACACACCGCCCGUCGCUACUACCGAUUGGAUGGUUUAGUGAGAUCCUCGGAUUGGUCCCGGCGCGGCCUCUGGUCGUGCCGGAGUGCCGAAAAGAAUGUCGAACUUGAUCAUCUAGAGGAAGUAAAAGUCGUAACA
RNAcentral lists this ribosomal RNA (326 nucleotides) under uncultured eukaryote. RNAcentral's name for it is "partial 18S ribosomal RNA". It matches the Rfam family "Eukaryotic small subunit ribosomal RNA", at positions 1470 to 1796 of the family's 1831-position model. The record is from RNAcentral.